This 467-nucleotide ribosomal RNA is filed under the name uncultured bacterium. Its description in RNAcentral is "partial 16S ribosomal RNA". It matches the Rfam family "Bacterial small subunit ribosomal RNA", at positions 28 to 506 of the family's 1533-position model. The record is from RNAcentral.
GACGAACGCUGGCGGCGUGCUUAACACAUGCAAGUCGAACGGAAAGGCCCUGCUUUUGUGGGGUGCUCGAGUGGCGAACGGGUGAGUAACACGUGAGUAACCUGCCCUUGACUUUGGGAUAACUUCAGGAAACUGGGGCUAAUACCGGCUAGGAGCUCCUGCUGCAUGGUGGGGGUUGGAAAGUUUCGGCGGUUGGGGAUGGACUCGCGGCUUAUCAGCUUGUUGGUGGGGUAGUGGCUUACCAAGGCUUUGACGGGUAGCCGGCCUGAGAGGGUGACCGGCCACAUUGGGACGGAGAGACGGCCCAGACUCAUACGGGAGGCAGGAGGGGGGAAGAUUGCACAAUGGGCGGAAGCCUGAUGCAGCAACGCCGGGUGCGGGAUGACGGCCUUCGGGUUGGAAACCACUUUCGCCUGUGACGAAGCGUGAGUGACGGUAAUGGGUAAAGAAGCACCGGCUAACUACGU